This 489-nucleotide ribosomal RNA is filed under the name Melaloncha cf. striatula PTS-2007. RNAcentral's name for it is "partial 16S ribosomal RNA". Lineage: Eukaryota; Metazoa; Arthropoda; Insecta; Diptera; Phoridae. The record is from RNAcentral.
GUUUAUCAAAAACAUGUCUUUUUGAAUUUAAUUUAAAGUCUAACCUGCCCACUGAAAUUUUAAAUGGCCGCAGUAUUUUAACUGUGCAAAGGUAGCAUAAUCAUUAGUCUUUUAAUUGAAGGCUGGAAUGAAUGGUUGAAUGAAAUAUUAACUGUUUCAUAUAAAUUUAAAAUAGAAUUUUAUUUUUUAGUUAAAAAGCUAAAAUUUUAUUAAAAGACGAGAAGACCCUAUAAAUCUUUAUAUUUAAAUUUAUAAUUUUUAUAUAGAUAAUUAAAAUUUUUAUAUAAUUAAAUAUUUUAUUGGGGUGAUAUUAAAAUUUAAAUAACUUUUAAUUUUAAAUUAACAAAAAUUAUUGAAAUAUUGAUCCAUUAAUUAUGAUUAAAAAAUUAAGUUACUUUAGGGAUAACAGCGUAAUUUUUUUAGAGAGUUCAUAUUAAUAAAAAAGUUUGCGACCUCGAUGUUGGAUUAAGAUAAAAUUUAGGUGAAGAA